This is a long non-coding RNA of Rhagoletis pomonella (apple maggot), 1160 nucleotides long. RefSeq lists it as uncharacterized. The record is from RefSeq and is a predicted model, not a curated record. NCBI's taxonomy places the organism in Eukaryota, Metazoa, Arthropoda, Insecta, Diptera, Tephritidae. The transcript is spliced from 3 exons.
CGUGCCGGCGUGCAGUAACACCUGUCGUUUUGUGUCGCUAAAGUGUCGCGUUACACGAUUAUAAAUCUAUCGGUUAUCUUUCGAUUUAUGAUGCGAGCAUACAAGUUUCGGGUCCAAUUUUAUGGAUAUCGUUAUCGAGUUUUUAUUUGUCGUGUUAAGUAGUGCUUAAACAAUCGCAUAAUUAAAUAGAAAAACAAAAACAAAACAAAAGUUCAACUACACGAAAAUAAGUACUUUAGAAAGAAAACUCAAUAUAAUUGAAAUAAAAAGUUUUGAAAAUAUUGGCUAACAUAAACUAAAACAAUUUAAUAAGAGACCAAUCAACAAAUUUUAAAAACUGCCACCGAUCUUACUUCUGUGGGCAAGUUUCUAGUGAAUAACAUAAAAAUAUUCUGCUCACAUUAAAAGCUUUUAAAAUUCUACAAACUCGUAAAAAAACCAUCAAUAAAAAUAAACCUCCACAAAAUAUUAUUCGACAACAAUUUUGGAUUAUCGGAGAGGGAUUAAAAAAUUUCCGGCAUAUAAAAGGUGUAAUAACACCCGAUCAGAGUAACAGCAACAACAACACGGAAAUCAUACAGAUUGUAAUUGUAAUUCACAGCACAAGGAAAUCGCAACGACAGCAACAAUAAGAACAACAACAUCAGCAAAGCAAGAAUUGCCCAUUCUUCAGCAGCAGUUCGCUUGUCUACCGCAUUGUUGUUGCCGCUUGUCGCUGCAUGUCAGCAGCAUUCCCCCAUUUGGCAAAGUGUUAAAGGCUCCGCAAUAUAUAGUGACUACCGAAAAAACCGAGAACACAAUCGAUGUAGUGCUAAGAAACAGGAGCACAAGGACAAAGGCCCAUAAAUACCACAAAAUAAUUAUACCAAAAACCAAGGAGCUGGAAAGAAAAAGAAAGACAAUACAAAAAGGUUUAUUAAAAACAAAAAAUAAACCAAAUUGGAGUUCAAUUACACAUUUACUGAACCUUAAAAUAAAACAACUGAGAAAAAGUCUACAUAAAAAGAAAAACAUAAUCAUUGCCGCACACAAGAGCAACAGAAACGAAGAAAACAUCUACUGAGCUGAAAACGUGAACAAAAACCAAAAUUGGACAUAAAAAACGUACAACAGUAAUUACUGGUCUACUUGCAACACAACAAAUUUAAUACUGCAAUAAC